GAUGAACGCUAGCGGCAGGCCUAACACAUGCAAGUCGAGGGGUAGAAUUAGCUUGCUAAUUUGAGACCGGCGCACGGGUGCGUAACGCGUAUGCAAUCUACCUUGUACAGAGGGAUAGCCCAGAGAAAUUUGGAUUAAUACCCCAUGGUAUAAUUAAUUUGCAUGAAUUGAUUAUUAAAGUUCCAACGGUACAAGAUGAGCAUGCGUCCCAUUAGCUAGUUGGUGUGGUAACGGCAUACCAAGGCGACGAUGGGUAGGGGUCCUGAGAGGGAGAUCCCCCACACUGGUACUGAGACACGGACCAGACUCCUACGGGAGGCAGCAGUGAGGAAUAUUGGUCAAUGGUCGGAAGACUGAACCAGCCAUGCCGCGUGCAGGAAGAAGCAUCUAUGGUGUGUAAACUGCUUUUGUACGGGAAGAAACACUCCUACGUGUAGGAGCUUGACGGUACCGUAAGAAUAAGGAUCGGCUAACUCCGUG
Molecule: ribosomal RNA, 480 nt
Filed under: uncultured bacterium
Lineage: Bacteria
Description: bacterial SSU rRNA
Rfam family: Bacterial small subunit ribosomal RNA
Source: RNAcentral